GACGAACGCUGGCGGCGUGCUUAACACAUGCAAGUCGAACGGAAAGGCCCCUUUGGGGGUUCUCGAGUGGCGAACGGGCGAGUAACACGUUAGUAACCUGCCAUCGUCUUCGGGUUAACUUCAGGACACUGGGGCUAAUCCCGUAUAGGAAUCUUUUCUGCGUGGUGGGGGUUGGAAAGCUUGGGCGGUUUUGGAUGGACUCGCGGCUUAUCUGCGUGUUGGUGGGGUAGUGGCUUACCAAGGCUUUGACGGGUAGCCGGCCCGAGAGAGCGACCGGCCACGAUGGGACUGAGAUACGGCCGAGACGCCUAAGGGGGGCAGCAGGGGGGAAUAGUGCACGAUGGGCGGAAGCCCGAUGCGGCAACGCUGGGGGCGGGAUGACGGCGUUCGGGUUGUAAACCGGGUUAAGCAGGGGCGAAGCUUGUGGUGACGGUACCUGCAGAAGAAGCACCGGCUAACUACGUG
RNAcentral lists this ribosomal RNA (465 nucleotides) under uncultured bacterium. Its description in RNAcentral is "partial 16S ribosomal RNA". It matches the Rfam family "Bacterial small subunit ribosomal RNA", at positions 28 to 507 of the family's 1533-position model. The record is from RNAcentral.